CAGAAAAUAGUUUAAAAAACAUUAUCUUUGGGAGAUAAAAUUUAGAUUCUUUCUAUUUUCUGA
This 63-nucleotide transfer RNA is filed under the name Galathealinum brachiosum. Its description in RNAcentral is "tRNA-Pro". Lineage: Eukaryota; Metazoa; Annelida; Polychaeta; Sabellida; Siboglinidae. The record is from RNAcentral.